RNAcentral lists this transfer RNA (70 nucleotides) under Felis catus (domestic cat). It matches the Rfam family "tRNA", at positions 8 to 63 of the family's 71-position model. From Rfam's summary of the family: Transfer RNA (tRNA) molecules are approximately 80 nucleotides in length. Their secondary structure includes four short double-helical elements and three loops (D, anti-codon, and T loops). The record is from Rfam by way of RNAcentral. Lineage: Eukaryota; Metazoa; Chordata; Mammalia; Carnivora; Felidae.
UGGCUUAGUUGGUUAAGCAUUUGACUUCGGCUCAAGCCAUGAUCUCAUGUUUCAUGGGUUCGAGCCCCAU